GUGGGGAAUAUUGGACAAUGGGCGAAAGCCUGAUCCAGCCAUGCCGCGUGAGUGAUGAAGGCCUUAGGGUUGUAAAGCUCUUUCGCCGAGGACGAUAAUGACGGUACUCGGAUAAGAAGCCCCGGCUAACUUCGUGCCAGCAGCCGCGGUAAUACGAAGGGGGCUAGCGUUGUUCGGAAUUACUGGGCGUAAAGCGUAUGUAGGCGGGUCGUUAAGUUAGGGGUGAAAUCCCAAGGCUCAACCUUCGAACUGCCCUUGAUACUGGCGAUCUUGAGUCCGGGAGAGGUGAGUGGAACUGCGAGUGUAGAGGUGAAAUUCGUAGAUAUUCGCAAGAACACCAGUGGCGAAGGCGGCUCACUGGCCCGGUACUGACGCUGAGAUACGAAAGCGUGGGGAGCAAACAGGAUUAGAAACCCCUGUAGUCC
RNAcentral lists this ribosomal RNA (425 nucleotides) under uncultured bacterium. RNAcentral's name for it is "partial 16S ribosomal RNA". It matches the Rfam family "Bacterial small subunit ribosomal RNA", at positions 354 to 796 of the family's 1533-position model. The record is from RNAcentral.